AUUGAACGCUGGCGGCAGGCCUAACACAUGCAAGUCGAGCGGAUGAAGGGAGCUUGCUCCUGGAUUCAGCGGCGGACGGGUGAGUAAUGCCUAGGAAUCUGCCUGGUAGUGGGGGAUAACGUCCGGAAACGGGCGCUAAUACCGCAUACGUCCUGAGGGAGAAAGUGGGGGAUCUUCGGACCUCACGCUAUCAGAUGAGCCUAGGUCGGAUUAGCUAGUUGGUGGGUAAAGGCCUACCAAGGCGACGAUCCGUAACUGGUCUGAGAGGAUGAUCAGUCACACUGGAACUGAGACACGGUCCAGACUACUACGGGAGGCAGCAGUGGGGAAUAUUGGACAAUGGGCGAAAGCCUGAUCCAGCCAUGCCGCGUGUGUGAAGAAGGUCUUCGGAUUGUAAAGCACUUUAAGUUGGGAGGAAGGGCAGUAAGUUAAUACCUUGCUGUUUUGACGUUACCAACAGAAUAAGCACCGGCUAACUUCGUG
Molecule: ribosomal RNA, 483 nt
Filed under: uncultured bacterium
Lineage: Bacteria
Description: partial 16S ribosomal RNA
Rfam family: Bacterial small subunit ribosomal RNA
Source: RNAcentral